GUGCUCGCUUUGGCAGCACAUGUACUAAAAUUGGAACGAUACAGAGAAGAUUAGCAUGGCCCCUGUGCAAGGAUGAUACGCAAAUUCGCGAUCCAUUUCAUAUUUUU
Molecule: small nuclear RNA, 107 nt
Organism: Heterocephalus glaber (naked mole-rat)
Lineage: Eukaryota; Metazoa; Chordata; Mammalia; Rodentia; Bathyergidae
Source: Ensembl